GAUGAAGAACGCAGCGAAAUGCGAUAAGUAAUGCGAAUUGCAGAAUUUCCGUGAGUCAUCGAAUCUUUGAACGCACAUUGCGCCCUUUGGUAUUCCGAAGGGCAUGCCUGUUCGAGCGUCAUUUCAACCAUCAAGCCCUAGGCUUGCGUUGGAGCCCUGCGGCUGCCGCAGGCCCCUAAAAGCAGUGGCGGGCUCGCUAUCACACCGAGUGCAGUAGAUUACUCUUCGCUCAGGGCGUGUGGCGGGUUCCAGCCGUGAAACCCCCUACUUCUCAAGGUUGACCUCGGAUCAGGUAGGAAUACCCGCUGAACUUAAGCAUAUCAAUAAGCGGAGGA
Molecule: unclassified non-coding RNA, 335 nt
Filed under: soil metagenome
Description: partial contains 5.8S ribosomal RNA, internal transcribed spacer 2, and large subunit ribosomal RNA
Rfam family: 5.8S ribosomal RNA (bases 1-121)
Source: RNAcentral